AUUUUAUUUAAACUAAAUCCCAGACCAUGUCGAGGAGGAGCUCACAGACAAGACUCAGCUGUGCUCUUGGAAACUAGCAGGAUAUACUUCUUCCAGAAACAGGAUUCAGUGAAGUUCAGACAAGUGUAUCAUGAAAACUAAUUUCUGCAACUGCUAUUGCAUGUCUGCACAGAACAUAGCUAGCUCUUGGAAAAAGAAAAGCUACUGGAAAGAGUAACUCAGUUAUACAGUGGUAUUAUUGCAGGAUUCAACAGUAGUAAAACCAGUCAAGAAGCUUUCAGUCAAGAAGCUCAGCAUGCCUGAACAGCUCUAAGACUGAGGGUGUUUUGCUUCUUGUUGGGUACAAAUGUUAUGUCUUAAGGGAUCCUCUCUUUUUCCAUUGACAUUCAUCAUAGCUUUAUCCUGUUGUUUGUUAUAACAUGGUCCAUCUCUGCCAUAUUUAGUAUUAUAUAAAAUUGGUAGAAAUUUUUCUUUGCCCAUUGCUGAGCACAGAAAGCAGAGCAAGCCAGAAGCUAGAUUUAUUAAAUACAAAAUAUGACUUAAACCGAGCAGGUCCGUGAGGGACCAGGUGUCACGUAAUGGCGGCCGCAUGAGUGAGGAGGGGUCACGUGACGGUGGCUGCGUGAGGGAGGAGGUGUCGCGUAAUGGCGGGUGCCUGAAGGACUCGGUAUCAUGUAAUGGCGGCUGUGCCGUGCUGUCUACACACUGAAGUCCUGGAGCAUACAAUCCCAUGAUGAAGUCAGAUUCCCACAUAUCUGCAUUUGAUUCCAAAGUGGAGUGUUUUAACGAACCGAAAGAGACCAUCCCUGGCCCUGGAGCAUACCAGUCAUUGGUAACAUUCCUCAGAGGUGCUGGAGGCAUUAGGAUAACAUCUGAAAGCAAGAGAGAAACAACAACAACAACAAAAACUAACCAUGAAAAGAGCAAAGUCUUCUGGAAUGAGACACACCCACAAGAUAGAUGGCAGGGAUUUCAGAUCUACUUGGAGCAUGAUAAAAACAUAAUAUACUUAUACACUUCUGUUAAAGAAGGCAAGCAAGCCCUUUUGAAAUUAAUAAGCAUUAGCAAUAUCUCACAGUGGGAGAAAGAAGCCCAGCUGUCAACUUUUCAGUGGGAUAUCUACAGUUCAGAGCACAUCAGUCCACAGUCAGUGUGCAUUUCUAAAGAAAUUUCAUCUGCAUAG
Molecule: long non-coding RNA, 1183 nt
Filed under: Anas platyrhynchos platyrhynchos (common mallard)
Lineage: Eukaryota; Metazoa; Chordata; Aves; Anseriformes; Anatidae
Description: lncRNA (ENSAPLG00000030655.1)
Source: RNAcentral